RNAcentral lists this ribosomal RNA (253 nucleotides) under uncultured bacterium. Its description in RNAcentral is "partial 16S ribosomal RNA". It matches the Rfam family "Bacterial small subunit ribosomal RNA", at positions 524 to 776 of the family's 1533-position model. The record is from RNAcentral.
UACGUAGGUGGCAAGCGUUAUCCGGAUUUACUGGGUGUAAAGGGCGUGUAGGCGGGAUCGCAAGUCGGGUGUGAAAUUCCAGGGCUCAACCCUGGACGUGCACUUGAAACUGUGGUUCUUGAGUGAUGGAGAGGCAGGCGGAAUUCCGUGUGUAGCGGUGAAAUGCGUAGAUAUACGGAGGAACACCAGUGGCGAAGGCGGCCUGCUGGACAUUAACUGACGCUGAGGCGCGAAGGCGUGGGGAGCAAACAGG